RNAcentral lists this unclassified non-coding RNA (360 nucleotides) under soil metagenome. RNAcentral's name for it is "partial contains 5.8S ribosomal RNA, internal transcribed spacer 2, and large subunit ribosomal RNA". The stretch from base 1 to 120 matches the Rfam family "5.8S ribosomal RNA", at positions 35 to 154 of the family's 154-position model. The record is from RNAcentral.
GAUGAAGAACGCAGCGAAAUGCGAUAAGUAAUGUGAAUUGCAGAAUUCAGUGAAUCAUCGAAUCUUUGAACGCACAUUGCGCCCCCUGGUAUUCUGGCGGGCAUGCCUGUCCGAGCGUCAUUUCAACCCUCGGGCCCCCCUCUGCGGGCGGCCCGGCGUUGGGGCUCAGGCGCCGUCUCUGCUCGGCGCCUGUCCCCUAAAUGCAGUGGCGGCCUCGCCGCUGCCUCCUCCGCGUAGUAGCACAAACCUCGCGGCUGGAAGGCGGCGCGGCCACGCCGUAAAACCCCCCAACUUUACCAAGGUUGACCUCGGAUCAGGUAGGAAUACCCGCUGAACUUAAGCAUAUCAAUAAGCGGAGGA